GACGAACGCUGGCGGCGUGCUUAACACAUGCAAGUCGAACGGAGAAGCCCUGCCUUUGUGGUGUGCUCGAGUUGCGAACGGGUGAGUAACACGUAAGUAACCUGCCUUUGACCGUGGGAUAACUUCUGGAAACUAGAGCUAAUACCGCAUAAGAGCUGCUGCUGCAUGAUGUUUACUGGAAAGUUUCAGUGGUGUCGGUAGGACGUGGGGCUUAUCUGCAUGUUGGAGGGGUAGUGGAUUCCCCAGGCCUUGGCGGGUAGCCGGCCUGGGAGGGUGACCGGCCACAGUGGGACUGGGAUGCGGGCCGGACGGCUACGGGAGGCAGCGGUGGGGAAUAGUGCAAGAUGGGCGGAAGCAGGAUGGAGCAAUGCCGCGUGCGGGAUGACGGCCGUCGGGUUGUAAACCGUUUUCGCCUGUGACGAAGAGUGAGUGACGGUAAUGGGUAAAGAAGCAACGGCUAACUACGUG
RNAcentral lists this ribosomal RNA (468 nucleotides) under uncultured bacterium. RNAcentral's name for it is "partial 16S ribosomal RNA". It matches the Rfam family "Bacterial small subunit ribosomal RNA", at positions 28 to 507 of the family's 1533-position model. The record is from RNAcentral.